GAUUAGGCAUGCAAGUCGAACGGGAAGCCGUUGAUCAAUCUUCGGAGAGUGAUUCGGUGGAGAGUGGCGGAAGGGUGAGUAACGCGUGGAUAAGCUACCCUCAAGUCGGGGACAACCUCGGGAAACUGAGGCUAAUACCGGAUGUGGUCCUCCUUCCUAAGAAGGAGUGACUAAAGGUGGGGCUCCUUCGGGACCUGCCGCUUGGGGAGGUGUCCGCGUGCCAUCAGCUUGUUGGUAGGGUAACGGCCUACCAAGGCUUACGGCUAGCUGGUCUGAGAGGAUGACCAGCCACACUGGGACUGAGACACUGCCCAGACUCCUACGGGAGGCUGCAGUCGAGGAUCAUUCGCAAUGCGCGAAAGCGUGACGAUGCGACGCUGCGUGGAGGAAAGGCUUUCGGGUUGUAAACUCCUGUCAUGAGGGAAAAGACGUCUUGGGGAUAAUACCCCCGAGACCCGAUGGUACCUCAAGAGGAAGCCACGGCUAACUCUGUGCCAGCAGCCGCGGUAAUACAGAGGUGGCGAGCGUUGUUCGGAUUUACUGGGCGUAAAGCGUGUGUAGGCGGUAUCGUAUGUCAGAUGUGAAAUCCCACGGCCCAACCGGGGAACUGCAUCUGAAACUGCGGAACUAGAGUACAGGAGGGGAGAGCGGAAUUCUUGGUGUAGCGGUGAAAUGCGUUGAUAUCAAGAAGAACACCGGUGGCGAAGGCGGCUCUCUGGAAUGUUACUGACGCUCAGACACGAAAGUUGGGGGAGCAAACAGGAUUAGAUACCCUGGUAGUCCCAACCGUAAACGGUGUGCACUUGGUGUAGGAGGUAUUAACCCCUUCAGUGCCGGAGCUAACGCGUUAAGUGCACCGCCUGGGGAGUACGGCCGCAAGGCUAAAACUCAAAGAAAUUGACGGGGGCCCGCACAAGCGGAGGAGCAUGUGGCUUAAUUCGAUGCAACGCGAAGAACCUUACCUGGGCUUGACAUGUAACUGCACGCCCCGUGAAAGCGGGGUUCCUUCGAGGGUGUUACACAGGUGCUGCAUGGCUGUCGUCAGUUCGUGCCGUGAGGUGUUGGGUUAAGUCCCGCAACGAACGCAACCCUUGUGGUUAGUUGCCACCGUCGGUGAUAAGCCGACGAGCACUCUAGCCAGACUGCCCGUACAAGCGGGAGGAAGGUGGGGAUGACGUCAAGUCAGUAUGGCCCUUACGUCCAGGGCUGCACACGUGCUACAAUGGCCGGUACAGAAGGAUGCAAUGCCGCGAGGUGGAGCAAAUCCCCAAAACCGGCCUCAGUUCGGAUUGUAGUCUGCAACUCGACUACAUGAAGUUGGAUUCGCUAGUAACGGCGUAUCAGCUACGACGCCGUGAAUACGUUCCCGGGCCUUGUACACACCGCCCGUCACAUCAUGGAAGCCGUCUGGACCCGAAGUCGCUGAGCCAACCCGCAAGGGAGGCAGGUGCCUAAGGUCUGGGUGGUAACUGGGAUGAAGUCGGAACAAGGUA
This 1493-nucleotide ribosomal RNA is filed under the name metagenome. RNAcentral describes it as "bacterial SSU rRNA". It matches the Rfam family "Bacterial small subunit ribosomal RNA". The record is from RNAcentral.